ACCCUGGGUGUGAAACAGCUAAUUGUUGG
Molecule: non-coding RNA, 29 nt
Filed under: Cricetulus griseus (Chinese hamster)
Lineage: Eukaryota; Metazoa; Chordata; Mammalia; Rodentia; Cricetidae
Source: RNAcentral